UCCUGGUGGUGCCCUUCCGUC
RNAcentral lists this non-coding RNA (21 nucleotides) under Arabidopsis thaliana (thale cress). The record is from RNAcentral. Lineage: Eukaryota; Viridiplantae; Streptophyta; Magnoliopsida; Brassicales; Brassicaceae.